Molecule: long non-coding RNA, 724 nt
Organism: Cynoglossus semilaevis (tongue sole)
Lineage: Eukaryota; Metazoa; Chordata; Actinopteri; Pleuronectiformes; Cynoglossidae
Exons: 2
Source: RefSeq, a predicted model, not a curated record
ACCCAAGUCUAUUUUGAGCAUCUUCAAACACAUUGCACAACAAUGGUAGUAAAUAUCUCUUCGUACAGCAUGUUAGCCCUGCAUAGUAUUUAGUUUCAUGAUUUCGGAAUAUUGGCAGAUUUGCCCUAAUAUAAUUUUUAUUGUUAUGUAGAUGUUAAACGACAUUAGCGUUUGUGUAAAUGAAUGACAUACACGUAGCUUCAAAACAGGCAAAUAAACAGUAGUAAUUUAAAAUAUACACAACUGAAUCUUUCUCCUCUCUUCUAGGUGGUCAUCAACCUGGGCGACUGACAGCUGACCGUGCUCCACAUGCCUGGUCACUCCAGGGGCAGCAUCUGCCUUCACAAUCGAGACAAUAAGUUGCUCUUUAGUGGAGAUGUGGUGUAUGACGGUGCCAUGAUUGACUGGCUGCCCUACAGCCGUGUCAGUGAUUAUGUCAGCAGCUGCGAGCGAUUGGUUGGACUGGUGGACAGUGAAGAGGUGGACCAAGUCCUUCCUGGUCACUACAGAAUCAGAAUCAGAAUCAGAAUCAGAAUCUCUUUAUUGUCAUAUGCACCAGGGAAGGUGAUACGAAAUUUAGUUUUGUACGACCCGUUCCAAGAAAAAAACAUGAAUAGACAAUAAAAACAAUACAAAUAAUUGACAAGGGGGGACAGGAACAGGAAGGCCAGGACGCAGCCCGUGGUCAGCGCACCCUUAUAUUAGAUGAAAAACAACUGAAAAA